Molecule: long non-coding RNA, 641 nt
Organism: Oncorhynchus keta (chum salmon)
Lineage: Eukaryota; Metazoa; Chordata; Actinopteri; Salmoniformes; Salmonidae
Exons: 3
Source: RefSeq, a predicted model, not a curated record
UACCUCAUCUCUGUACCCAACACAUACAAUUAUCUGUAAGGUCCCUCAUCUCUGUACCCCACACAUACAGUUAUCUGUAAGGUCCCUCAUCUCUGUACCCCACACAUACAAUUAUCUGUAAGGUCCCUCAUCUCUGUACCCCCACACAUACAAUUAUCUGUAAGGUCCCUCAUCUCUGUACCCCCACACAUACAAUUAUCUGUAAGGUCCCUCAUCUCUGUACCCCCACACAUACAAUUAUCUGUAAGGUCCCUCAUCUCUGUACCCCCACACAUACAAUUAUCUGUAAGGUCCCUCAUCUCUGUACCCCACACAUACAAUUAUCUGUAAGGUCCCUCAUCUCUGUACCCCACACAUACAAUUAUCUGUAAGGUCCCUCAUCUCUGUACCCCACACAUACAAUUAUCUGUAAGGUCCCUCAUCUCUGUACCCCACACAUACAAUUAUCUGUAAGGUCCCUCAUCUCUGUACCCCACACAUACAAUUAUCUGUAAGGUCCCUCAUCUCUGUACCCCACACAUACAAUUAUCUGUAAGGUCCCUCAUCUCUGUACCCCACACAUACAAUUAUCUGUAAGGUCCCUCAUCUCUGUACCCCACACAUACAAUUAUCUGUAAGGUCCCUCAUCUCUGUACCCCACA